RNAcentral lists this ribosomal RNA (905 nucleotides) under Palmaria palmata (dulse). Its description in RNAcentral is "eukaryotic LSU rRNA". It matches the Rfam family "Eukaryotic large subunit ribosomal RNA", at positions 194 to 1180 of the family's 3401-position model. Lineage: Eukaryota; Rhodophyta; Florideophyceae; Palmariales; Palmariaceae. The record is from RNAcentral.
AAUGAAGCGCCAUGGAGGGUGAGAGCCCCGUCCAUCCCGCACAGGAUCCAUUCGUACAAGGACGCUUCAACCGAGUCGGGUAGCUUGGGAAUGCUGCUCUAAUUGGUGGUAAAUCUCAUCAAAGGCUAAAUAGUGGUGGGAGACCGAUAGCGAACAAGUACCGUGAGGGAAAGAUGGAAAGAACUUUGAAAAGAGAGUGAAAAGCACUUGAAACCGUCACGGGGGAAGCGGAUUGCGUGAGUGAUGGUGUCGCUUGUUCAGCGCUUUAUUGCGUGCAUUCUGGCGGCGCCGUGCCGGCGUGGCUGGCUGGACUGUGAUUUUGACAGUCUCGGCUGGUGAGGGCUCCCUCGUAUGAGGUGAGGACGCGGGCAAAAUGACGCAAUACGACCCGUCUUGAAACACGGACCAAGGAGUCUAGCACGGCUGCGAGUCGAAGAGUGAUUAAACUCAAGGGCGCAGUGAAAGCGAAAUUAUAAGCAAAUUGGGGAGGCGUUGCGUUUUUAACAAAAUGUCCUACCUCGAGCAUUUGUGCUGGGACCCGAAAGAUGGUGAACUAUGCCGGAGUAGGGCAAAGCCAGAGGAAACUCUGGUGGAGGCUCGUAGCGAUGCUGACGUGCAAAUCGCUCGUCGAACUUGGGUAUAGGGGCGAAAGACUAAUCGAACCAUCUAGUAGCUGGUUCCCUCCGAAGUUUCUCUCAGGAUAGCGGGCCGACACGCGUUUGUUGUUUUGUGCGGUAAAGCGAAUGAUUAGUGCAUUUGGGGUACGAAGUACUUCGGGCGAUUCUCAAACUUUAAAUGCGCAAGGGGGUGGCUGCUUAAUUGAGCCUACUCUUUGAAAAACGUCGGCCCUGUGGGCCACUUUUGGUAAGCAGAACUGGCGAUAAGGGAUGAACCUUAAGCGCGGU